Molecule: ribosomal RNA, 253 nt
Filed under: uncultured bacterium
Lineage: Bacteria
Description: partial 16S ribosomal RNA
Rfam family: Bacterial small subunit ribosomal RNA
Source: RNAcentral
GGCAGAGGUGCCAAGCGUUAGGCGGAAUCACUGGGCUUAAAGCGUGUGUAGGCGGACUUGUAAGUACCUUGUGAAAUCCCACGGCUCAACCGUGGAACUGCUUGGUAUACUGCUUGUCUUGAGCCACUUAGGGGCUACCGGAACAAAUGGUGGAGCGGUGAAAUGCGUAGAUAUCAUUUGGAACGCCAAUGGUGAAAACAGGUAGCUGGGAGUGUGCUGACGCUGAGACACGAAAGCCAGGGGAGCGAACGGG